GCAAGGAUGCUCCAGACAGCCUCUGUCAGAUGAUGAAAUAAGCAGAGAAUUCACCAGAAAAGCACAUAUGUACAAACAAAUCAAAUAAACAAAAGAAAGGGCAAGGAAACAAUGAUUAGCAACAAAUAAAUCACACAUUUCAAUAAUAAAAAAGAAAAGACAAAAGCAAUAUUGUAAUAGUCCUAUGAAUUUGAAAUAGGUUUCUGUUAUUGGGUUGGAACAAACUUCACACUUUGAUUGGCCUUUUCAAUAUAUCCUCCACUCAAACUUGAUCACAUAAUAUAUAAAGAGACCCUUGGUAACUACUCUACUAAAAAAGUAAGGUACCACUAUUACAAUGAAUCCUACAGAUCAACAUAAAACAUGAGAAUAUGGAAACAAGGUCACUAACUCUACUUAGUGCCAAGACUCACUGCUCACUCAUUAACAAGACUCAACAGCUAACUCCAAUGACAAUAGGACCUAAUAAAUGGACUGCAUAUCAUCCUUUUGGUUCUAUCAUAUUGUUAAACAAUUACUAAAGAAACAUUAAACUGGAGAAUACCUCUUCCUUCAAAAGAUUA
This 563-nucleotide unclassified non-coding RNA is filed under the name Hevea brasiliensis (rubber tree). The record is from RNAcentral. Lineage: Eukaryota; Viridiplantae; Streptophyta; Magnoliopsida; Malpighiales; Euphorbiaceae.